GCUCCGCUAGCUCAGUGGCAGAGCGCAGGUUUGAAGCACCUGGCGUCGGAGGUUCGACUCCUCCGCGGAGCA
This 72-nucleotide transfer RNA is filed under the name Candidatus Kaiserbacteria bacterium RIFCSPHIGHO2_02_FULL_59_21. Its description in RNAcentral is "tRNA-Phe". It matches the Rfam family "tRNA". Rfam says of the family: Transfer RNA (tRNA) molecules are approximately 80 nucleotides in length. Their secondary structure includes four short double-helical elements and three loops (D, anti-codon, and T loops). The record is from RNAcentral. Lineage: Bacteria; Candidatus Kaiseribacteriota. RNAcentral also lists the same sequence under 1 other name.